Molecule: long non-coding RNA, 1375 nt
Organism: Triticum aestivum (bread wheat)
Lineage: Eukaryota; Viridiplantae; Streptophyta; Magnoliopsida; Poales; Poaceae
Exons: 5
Source: RefSeq, a predicted model, not a curated record
CCUCCUCCUCCCCCGCACUCCCGCCGCCCCGUCUUCUCUUCGUCCCGCCUCGCCCCUCUCUCUCCCUCCAAACCCUACCCCGCGCACGCCUCCCUACCCCGCCGCCAUCUCCUUCGCCGCCGGGAGCUCGCCCGGGAUGACUGCCGCGGGGUUCCUGGUGGGCUUCCUCCUCGGCCUGCUCGCGCUCACGGAGGCCGAGGCGGCCGCGCUGCUCUGGUUCGUGCUCCGCCUCCGCCGCCGGCGAGGCUCCGGUGGACUCGGACGGCUCCUCUCCGUCUCCUCCCUCGCCCCCACGUGUGGUUCCGCUUCCCGCUGGCCACGAGGUGCAGCCUUGCAGGGGCGCAUCGGGCUGGGCCUCUGUUUCCGGUUAGUUCAUCCCCCUCCUCCUCCUCUCCGAUCUGCUCUGGUUCUCGCCCUCUCCUCUUCUUCCUUCUCUCUCAGAUAUGGUGCAGCAGCUGCUGUGGGGUUGAGGUGUUCUGGCAACGGUAGGAGCUCCGGGCCCGUCCAGGUCUGGUGCUCCAUCUAUGCUGAUUUUCAGAAACUGUUGCCCAGAGAGAUCUCCAUGAAGCAUUGCGCCUGAUGCAGAUGUCAAAGUAUUCAAUCUACUCUGAUGACCACCAGCGGUGUAGUCUUGGUACAUAUACUGCAUCCUGAGAGAUAAAGCAGCAAGGACUAGCAGCAUGGAUGUGAAAUAUGGUCAUGCUCUUAACCUGAUCUCCAGAAAGAUUUCUAUAUCUCCUGAAGCAAGAAAAGUAUUUUGAUGGAGCACAAUUGAUGUAGAUUCAAACUACUCUCCUGUGAGGAUUUGUUCUGCUAUACAUUUUCCUUUCAUUUCCCAUCCAGGUUGUGUUCAAAUGAUAGGUGGCAUUGCAAAUUAUGACCAGUUUAAAUGUUGUUUAGUGAGCCUCCAUCUGCCAAUUGGAAAUAAACUGAGGGACCUGAAGUUUCAUCUAUUAGGAGAAGCCGGUGCUUGUGCGGGUUGCCGGAUUAAUCAAGAUGGAAGCUGAUGCAAUAAGAGUCCCAUCGGUACCAUUGCCUGUGACCAUGAUGCAGACAUUCACUCUAGGAUUUGAGAUUUUCUUUUCUCAUCCCCUACGAUAAAUUAUAGUUCAAGGAGUGAAUUCAUCCACGUCUACAUAUUUUCAUAUUUUGUUGUGUUUUGGCAUAACCAUUAUCUGAUUUGAGUUUUUGUAAGCGUGCUGAAGUCUUAUUGAUUGUGUUCCUGCAAAUAAACAUGAUCACCAAAUGGGCGUCUUCUGAAAAUUAAGAGAAUUAACUAAUUGUAUAUGCUAUUUAUUUGUGUUCUUUUUGUAAGAUUCAGAUGAUGCACACUUGAAUAUGAAUGAAGGAUGUGUCCUUGGCUAUUGGGCCCUAA